This 255-nucleotide ribosomal RNA is filed under the name uncultured bacterium. RNAcentral's name for it is "partial 16S ribosomal RNA". It matches the Rfam family "Bacterial small subunit ribosomal RNA", at positions 524 to 776 of the family's 1533-position model. The record is from RNAcentral.
UACGUACUGUGCGAACGUUAUUCGGAAUCACUGGGCUUAAAGGGUGCGUAGGCGGCCAAUUAAGUAGGGUGUGAAAGGUUACGGCUCAACCGUGACAUUGCGCUCUAGACUGAUUGGCUCGAGUGAGAUAGGGGUGUGCGGAACUUCCAAGUGGAGCGGUGAAAUGUGUUGAUAUUGGAAGGAACGCCGGUGGCGAAAGCGGCACACUGGGUCUUAACUGACGCUGAGGCACGAAAGCCAGGGGAGCGGAACGGG